UGACCAACACUGUUUUCCUGAUAAUGUACAUCAAUACACCAAUGGAUGUGUGAAUGAUUUACACAGAAAUUAAUUCUGUUCAUGUUGCAUGGAGGCCCAUUGUGUUUAUCAAGGUCUUUGUUGAUGUUACCUGGACUACGGAUGACAUCUGGUGCAUAGUUACGCAUGAAAUCAUGAGAAAUUGUGUUCUGCUGCCUGCUGAGAUGGAGUUUUCAGUGAUGGAGAAAUGUCCAGAGCAGGUUCAAUUAAUGAAGGUCGUGCCGUGAAUAUAAGAUCACUCUUUGAGGUUAGGAGAAAGCUUCCCCUUCACAGUCCAGCUCAGCUGCAGCCAGUGGAGAAAACUUUGCCUCCACCAUUACUUUUGACCUUCCAACUGAUUUAUCGCAAUCAACUGGAAGGAAAAAGGAAUUCAGGCACUGUCUAUGUGCUGAACAAAGGCACCUGGGGACUGCAACAGACAGUUCACAGCCUCCCAUCAAUUUCCAGAUGACAGGAACAAGAGCUACAGCGGAAAGGUGCAGGGCUGCAGAGAGGGGAAAGAAGGGAAGCCGGGCAGUCAAAAAAGUCCCUAAGGCAUGGACUAGUUAAUUAGCUUUGUAAGAAAACAAUCAGGCUAACAAGCAAAACAAAGUUAUUAGUUUCCCCCCGUUAUCCUGCAUGGCCUUUAGAGGCCUGUCUGUAUCAGACCCUCAGUCCAUUGUCACACCUCAUCUCUGAUUACUUUGACAGCUGCUGUAUUAUCCACAUAAAGGGCUGCGUAUGUCUUUACCAAGGUUGCACAUUAGAAUUCAACUGGAAAUGCUGUUUUAAUUUCCAAUUGAGAAUUUAAGGAAGUAGAAUUUGAAUUUUAUUAAUAUGAAAUUCAGAUAAUUUUUUUUUGUAUGUGUUGGAAUAGUUCACCCAAAAAUUCUCUCAUCAUUUGUUUACCUUUUCAUCAUAUAAAGCUAUCAUGUCUCUUCCGACACUUCAAGACUUGAUUAAACUGCUUGAUUCNCACAAUCUCUAGCUGGAGUGCCCGAGAGCUUCCCUAGAGGGCACUCCAUUACAGACUCUUGCCACUUUUCCCACGGACUUCAUUCCCCAUAAUCCUUUGACUGGACUCAUCACUGAUUGCGUUCACCUGUCUUGUUCAGUAUUGUUUAGCCCAUGUUUAGCCCUAGUUCCUGUGUUUUUUGUGUUUCCAUGUUCCUGUGUUCCUUUUUGUCUUGCCUUGCCUUGUUUUUGACCCUGGACUGUUUCUUGUUUUCUAAUCAUUUGCUGCCUGCCCUUUUGCUUGUUUAUUGGAUUACUCUUUUGUCUGCCUUGGAUUAUACCUGUUUACAACAGUUUGACCUUGCCUGUUUUGACCACUCUUGUAAUAAAGCAUGCACUUGGAUCCUCA
Cyprinus carpio (common carp) is the source of this 1381-nucleotide long non-coding RNA. The record is from Ensembl. Lineage: Eukaryota; Metazoa; Chordata; Actinopteri; Cypriniformes; Cyprinidae.